This 200-nucleotide unclassified non-coding RNA is filed under the name soil metagenome. Its description in RNAcentral is "partial contains internal transcribed spacer 2 and large subunit ribosomal RNA". The record is from RNAcentral.
GUGGUGGAUUUGGACCGUGCCGUAAUUGGCUCGUCCUGAAAUUCAUUAGCUUGCGCUUUUUACAGUGCUCGGCAUGGUGUGAUAAUUAUCUGCGCCGUCGCCUUAGGCCUGUUCUAUAUGUGUAGCUUCUAAUCGUCCCUUGUGGACAACUUACUUAACACUUUGGCCUCAAAUCAGGUAGGACUACCCGCUGAACUUAA